UGGGGAAUAUUGGACAAUGGGCGGAAGCCUGAUCCAGCAACGCCGCGUGAGGGAUGACGGCCUUCGGGUUGUAAACCUCUUUCAGCACAGACGAAGCGCCCGUUGUGGGUGGUGACGGUAUGUGCAGAAGAAGGACCGGCCAACUACGUGCCAGCAGCCGCGGUAAUACGUAGGGUCCGAGCGUUGUCCGGAAUUAUUGGGCGUAAAGGGCUCGUAGGCGGUUUGUCGCGUCGGGAGUGAAAACCGGGUGCUUAACACCUGGCUUGCUUUCGAUACGGGCAGACUAGAGGUAUGCAGGGGAGAACGGAAUUCCUGGUGUAGCGGUGAAAUGCGCAGAUAUCAGGAGGAACACCGGUGGCGAAGGCGGUUCUCUGGGCAUGUCCUGACGCUGAGGAGCGAAAGUGUGGGGAGCGAACA
RNAcentral lists this ribosomal RNA (417 nucleotides) under uncultured Nocardioides sp. Its description in RNAcentral is "bacterial SSU rRNA". It matches the Rfam family "Bacterial small subunit ribosomal RNA", at positions 355 to 774 of the family's 1533-position model. The record is from RNAcentral. Lineage: Bacteria; Bacillati; Actinomycetota; Actinomycetes; Propionibacteriales; Nocardioidaceae.